CACGAAUGGCGUAAUGAUGGCCAGGCUGUCUCCACCCGAGACUCAGUGAAAUUGAACUCGCUGUGAAGAUGCAGUGUACCCGCGGCAAGACGGAAAGACCCCGUGAACCUUUACUAUAGCUUGACACUGAACAUUGAGCCUUGAUGUGUAGGAUAGGUGGGAGGCUUGGAAGUGUGGACGCCAGUCUGCAUGGAGCCGACCUUGAAAUACCACCCUUUAAUGUUUGAUGUUCUAACGUUGACCCGUAAUCCGGGUUGCGGACAGUGUCUGGUGGGUAGUUUGACUGGGGCGGUCUCCUCCUAAAGAGUAACGGAGGAGCACGAAGGUUGGCUAAUCCUGGUCGGACAUCAGGAGGUUAGUGCAAUGGCAUAAGCCAGCUUGACUGCGAGCGUGACGGCGCGAGCAGGUGCGAAAGCAGGUCAUAGUGAUCCGGUGGUUCUGAAUGGAAGGGCCAUCGCUCAACGGAUAAAAGGUACUCCGGGGAUAACAGGCUGAUACCGCCCAAGAGUUCAUAUCGACGGCGGUGUUUGGCACCUCGAUGUCGGCUCAUCACAUCCUGGGGCUGAAGUAGGUCCCAAGGGUAUGGCUGUUCGCCAUUUAAAGUGGUACGCGAGCUGGGUUUAGAACGUCGUGAGACAGUUCGGUCCCUA
RNAcentral lists this ribosomal RNA (650 nucleotides) under Escherichia coli. Its description in RNAcentral is "partial 23S ribosomal RNA". It matches the Rfam family "Bacterial large subunit ribosomal RNA", at positions 1991 to 2640 of the family's 2925-position model. Lineage: Bacteria; Pseudomonadati; Pseudomonadota; Gammaproteobacteria; Enterobacterales; Enterobacteriaceae. The record is from RNAcentral.